This 147-nucleotide ribosomal RNA is filed under the name Ligilactobacillus animalis. RNAcentral describes it as "Lactobacillus animalis partial 16S ribosomal RNA". It matches the Rfam family "Bacterial small subunit ribosomal RNA", at positions 1394 to 1533 of the family's 1533-position model. The record is from RNAcentral. Lineage: Bacteria; Bacillati; Bacillota; Bacilli; Lactobacillales; Lactobacillaceae.
CCGUCACACCAUGAGAGUUUGUAACACCCAAAGCCGGUGGGGUAACCUUUUGGAACCAGCCGUCUAAGGUGGGACAGAUGAUUGGGGUGAAGUCGUAACAAGGUAGCCGUAGGAGAACCUGCGGCUGGAUCACCUCCUUUCUAAGGA